UAGACAAGGAAUUUGAGGCUCUGU
This 24-nucleotide non-coding RNA is filed under the name Rattus norvegicus (Norway rat). Lineage: Eukaryota; Metazoa; Chordata; Mammalia; Rodentia; Muridae. The record is from RNAcentral.